Molecule: ribosomal RNA, 1843 nt
Filed under: Acinetobacter sp. 1566109
Lineage: Bacteria; Pseudomonadati; Pseudomonadota; Gammaproteobacteria; Moraxellales; Moraxellaceae
Description: partial 23S ribosomal RNA
Source: RNAcentral
CCAAGCAAGUUCGCUGGUGUGGUAUCUACAGUGACAGUGACAUCGGUAGGACUGCUGACAUUGCCUUGUGCAUCCACCGCUUGUGCAUGGAUGGUAAUUGCACCAUCGGCUGUCACAGGAAUCGCUGCUGUGAUAUAGCCAUUCGUCAAGUCAGUUGCAUUGACAGUGUAGUCAGUGCCGUUAACAUUCACAACAGUACCCACCGCUGCAUCUGGACCCAACGUUACACGGGCAUUAAAGCUACCGUCUGCGCCAAGUUCUGAAGCAUUGAUAAUGCCGUCAGCAUUUAAGUCAUCCGGUACUGUAAUCGGACCAAGUAAGUUUGCUGGUGUUGUAUCCACAGUCACAGUGACAUCUGUUGGACUGCUGAUAUUACCUUGUGCAUCCACUGCUUGGGCAUGGAUGGUGAUCGGACCAUCCGCUGUUACAGGAAUUGCUGCGGUGAUAUAGCCAUUCGUCAAGUCAGUUGCAUUUACUGUGUAGUCAGUGCCGUUAACGUUUACUACAGUACCCACCGCUGCAUCUGGACCCAAUGCUACACGGGCAUUGAUGCUGCCGUCUGUGCCAAGUUCUGAUGCAUUGAUGAUGCCAUCAGUAUUUAAGUCAUCCGGUACUGUGAUCGCACCAAGCAAGUUCGCUGGUGUGGUAUCUACAGUCACGAUUACAUCUGCUGGACUGCUGAUAUGACCUUGUGAAUCCACUGCUUGUGCAUGGAUGGUGAUUGGACCAUCUGCAGUUACAGGAAUUGCUGCGGUGAUAUAACCAUUGCCAAGGUCAGUUGCACUCACUGUGUAAUCAGUGCCGUUAACGUUUACGACUGUGCCUACCACUGCAUCUGGACCCAACACUACACGGGCAUUAAAGCUGCCAUCUGUGCCAAGUUCUGCUGCAUUGAUGAUACCGUCAGCAUUUAAGUCAUCCGGUACUGUAAUCGGACCAAGCAAGUUCGCUGCUGCAGUAUCUACAGUCACGACUGCGCUACCUGUGCCCACAUUACCUGCCGGGUCGGUUGCUGUCACAGUCACAGUAUGUGGACCAUCAGUCAACACUGGAAGUGUAUUGUCUGCAAGUGUCCAGGUACCGUUGCCAUUGUUCACCGCAGUAUAGUCCACACCAUUUACAGUCACGACAACAGUCGCUGCUGGAUCGUUCACUGUACCUGUUAAUUCAGGCGUACUGUCAUUGGUGGUUACAUCACUUAAAGCAACUGUCGGCGCUGUCGUAUCUAAAGUUACAGUGACAUCUGUUGGACUGCUGAUGUUGCCUUGCGCAUCCACUGCUUGUGCAUGGAUGAUAAUUGGGCCAUCUGCUGUUACAGGAAUCGCUGCUGUGAUAUAGCCAUUGCCAAGGUCAGUUGCAUUCACUGUAUAGUCAGUGCCAUUAACAUUCACAACAGUACCCACCGCUGCAUCUGGACCCAAUGCUACACGGGCAUUGAAGCUACCGUCUGUGCCAAGUUCUGAUGCAUUGAUGAUACUGUCAGCAUUUAAGUCAUCCGGUACUGUAAUCGAACCAAGCAAGUUCGCUGCUGUAGUAUCUACAGUUACAGUGACAUCUGUCGGGCUACUGAUAUGACCUUGUGAAUCCACUGCUUGGGCAUGGAUGGUAAUUGGGCCAUCCGCUGUUACAGGAAUCGCUGCGGUGAUAUAGCCAUUGCUUAAGUCAGUUGCACUCACUGUAUAGUCAGUACCGUUAACAUUCACAACAGUACCUACCACUGCAUCUGGACCCAACGCUACACGGGCAUUAAAGCUGCCAUCUGUGCCAAGUUCUGAUGUAUUGAUGAAGCCAUCAGCAUUUAAGUCAUCCGGUACUGUAAUCGGACCAAGCAAGUUCGCUGCUG